UAGGGAAUCUUCGGCAAUGGACGAAAGUCUGACCGAGCAACGCCGCGUGAGUGAAGAAGGUUUUCGGAUCGUAAAACUCUGUUGUUAGAGAAGAACAAGGACGUUAGUAACUGAACGUCCCCUGACGGUAUCUAACCAGAAAGCCACGGCUAACUACGUGCCAGCAGCCGCGGUAAUACGUGGGUGGCAAGCGUUGUCCGGAUUUAUUGGGCGUAAAGCGAGCGCAGGCGGUUUCUUAAGUCUGAUGUGAAAGCCCCCGGCUCAACCGGGGAGGGUCAUUGGAAACUGGGAGACUUGAGUGCAGAAGAGGAGAGUGGAAUUCCAUGUGUAGCGGUGAAAUGCGUAGAUAUAUGGAGGAACACCAGUGGCGAAGGCGGCUCUCUGGUCUGUAACUGACGCUGAGGCUCGAAAGCGUGGGGAGCAAACAGG
This 429-nucleotide ribosomal RNA is filed under the name Chloroflexota bacterium. Its description in RNAcentral is "Chloroflexi bacterium partial 16S ribosomal RNA". It matches the Rfam family "Bacterial small subunit ribosomal RNA", at positions 355 to 776 of the family's 1533-position model. Lineage: Bacteria; Bacillati; Chloroflexota. The record is from RNAcentral. RNAcentral also lists the same sequence under 1 other name.